RNAcentral lists this ribosomal RNA (487 nucleotides) under uncultured bacterium. RNAcentral describes it as "bacterial SSU rRNA". It matches the Rfam family "Bacterial small subunit ribosomal RNA", at positions 30 to 507 of the family's 1533-position model. The record is from RNAcentral.
AUUGAACGCUGGCGGCAUGCCUAACACAUGCAAGUCGAACGGUAACGCGAGGAGCUUGCUCCUUGGCGACGAGUGGCGGACGGGUGAGUAAUACUUGGGAAUCUGCCCAGUAGUGGGGGACAACAUUCGGAAACGGAUGCUAAUACCGCAUACGCACUACGGUGAAAGUGGGGGAUCUUCGGACCUCACGCUAUUGGAUGAGCCCAAGUCGGAUUAGCUUGUUGGUGAGGUAAAGGCUCACCAAGGCGACGAUCCGUAGCUGGUCUGAGAGGACGAUCAGCCACACUGGGACUGAGACACGGCCCAGACUCCUACGGGAGGCAGCAGUGGGGAAUAUUGGACAAUGGGGGCAACCCUGAUCCAGCAAUGCCGCGUGUGUGAAGAAGGCCUGCGGGUUGUAAAGCACUUUCAGUAGAGAAGAAAAGCCUAGGGUUAAUACCCCUGAGUCUUGACGUAACCUACAGAAGAAGCACCGGCUAACUCCGUG